AUUGAACGCUGGCGGCAGGCCUAACACAUGCAAGUCGAGCGGAUGAAGGGAGCUUGCUCCUGGAUUCAGCGGCGGACGGGUGAGUAAUGCCUAGGAAUCUGCCUGGUAGUGGGGGAUAACGUCCGGAAACGGGCGCUAAUACCGCAUACGUCCUGAGGGAGAAAGUGGGGGAUCUUCGGACCUCACGCUAUCAGAUGAGCCUAGGUCGGAUUAGCUAGUUGGUGGGGUAAAGGCCUACCAAGGCGACGAUCCGUAACUGGUCUGAGAGGAUGAUCAGUCACACUGGAACUGAGACACGGUCCAGACUCCUACGGGAGGCAGCAGUGGGGAAUAUUGGACAAUGGGCGAAAGCCUGAUCCAGCCAUGCCGCGUGUGUGAAGAAGGUCUUCGGAUUGUAAAGCACUUUAAGUUGGGAGGAAGGGCAGUAAGUUAAUACCUUGCUGUUUUGACGUUAUCAACAGAAUAAGCGCCGGCUAACUUCGUG
Molecule: ribosomal RNA, 484 nt
Filed under: uncultured bacterium
Lineage: Bacteria
Description: partial 16S ribosomal RNA
Rfam family: Bacterial small subunit ribosomal RNA
Source: RNAcentral